CGCGUGAGGGAUGACGGCCUUCGGGUUGUAAACCUCUUUCAGCAGGGAAGAAGCGAAAGUGACGGUACCUGCAGAAGAAGCGCCGGCUAACUACGUGCCAGCAGCCGCGGUAAUACGUAGGGCGCAAGCGUUGUCCGGAAUUAUUGGGCGUAAAGAGCUCGUAGGCGGUUUGUCGCGUCUGCUGUGAAAGCCCGGGGCUCAACCCCGGGUCUGCAGUGGGUACGGGCAGACUAGAGUGCAGUAGGGGAGACUGGAAUUCCUGGUGUAGCGGUGAAAUGCGCAGAUAUCAGGAGGAACACCGAUGGCGAAGGCAGGUCUCUGGGCUGUAACUGACGCUGAGGAGCGAAAGCAUGGGGAGCGAACAGGAUUAGAUACCCUGGUAGUCCAUGCCGUAAACGUUGGGCACUAGGUGUGGGGGACAUUCCACGUUUUCCGCGCCGUAGCUAACGCAUUAAGUGCCCC
This 462-nucleotide ribosomal RNA is filed under the name Arthrobacter sp. Its description in RNAcentral is "bacterial SSU rRNA". It matches the Rfam family "Bacterial small subunit ribosomal RNA", at positions 398 to 870 of the family's 1533-position model. The record is from RNAcentral. Lineage: Bacteria; Bacillati; Actinomycetota; Actinomycetes; Micrococcales; Micrococcaceae.